UGCCAGCAGCCGCGGUAAUACGAAGGGAGCUAGCGUUAUUCGGAAUUACUGGGCGUAAAGCGCGCGUAGGCGGUCUAUUAAGUUAGAUGUGAAAGCCCGAGGCUCAACCUCGGAACUGCAUUUAAAACUGCUAGACUAGAAUUGAUUAGAGGUCAGUGGAAUUCCUUGUGUAGAGGUGAAAUUCGUAGAUACAAGGAGGAACACCAGAGGCGAAGGCGACUGACUGGGAUCAUAUUGACGCUGAGGUGCGAAAGCGUGGGGAGCGAAGAGGAUUAGAUA
This 279-nucleotide ribosomal RNA is filed under the name uncultured bacterium. RNAcentral's name for it is "partial 16S ribosomal RNA". It matches the Rfam family "Bacterial small subunit ribosomal RNA", at positions 506 to 784 of the family's 1533-position model. The record is from RNAcentral.